UACGUAGGGGCAAGCGUUGUCCGGAUUUAUUGGGCGUAAAGAGCGUGUAGGCGGCCUGACAGGUCUGCUGUGAAAACUCGAGGCUCAACCUCGAGAUGUCGGCGGAAACCGUCUGGCUAGAGUCCGGAAGAGGAGAGUGGAAUUCCUGGUGUAGCGGUGGAAAUGCGCAGAUAUCAGGAAGAACACCUAUGGCGAAGGCAGCUCUCUGGGACGGUACUGAGCUGAGACGCGAAGCGUGG
This 239-nucleotide ribosomal RNA is filed under the name uncultured bacterium. Its description in RNAcentral is "partial 16S ribosomal RNA". It matches the Rfam family "Bacterial small subunit ribosomal RNA", at positions 524 to 764 of the family's 1533-position model. The record is from RNAcentral.